Molecule: ribosomal RNA, 700 nt
Filed under: uncultured bacterium
Lineage: Bacteria
Description: bacterial SSU rRNA
Rfam family: Bacterial small subunit ribosomal RNA
Source: RNAcentral
AGUCGAACGCGAAAGAGGGGGCAACCCCUUGAGUAGAGUGGCGAACGGGUGAGUAACGCGUGAGAAACCUGCCCUCAGCAGGGGGAUAACACUCCCAACGGAGUGCUAAUACCGCAUGAGACCACGGGACCGCAUGGUCCUGGGGUCAAAGGUGGCCUCUGCUUGCAAGCUACCGGCUGAGGAUGGUCUCGCGUCCCAUUAGCUAGUUGGCGGGGUAAUGGCCCACCAAGGCGACGAUGGGUAGCUGGUCUGAGAGGAUGGUCAGCCACACUGGGACUGAGAUACGGCCCAGACUCCUACGGGAGGCAGCAGUCGAGAGGCUUCGGCAAUGGGGGAAACCCUGACCGAGCGACGCCGCGUGGAGGAUGAAGGCCCUUGGGUUGUAAACUCCUUUUGUUCGGGAAGAAGUGCGAUCAGGUGAAUAAUCUGGUCGUUUGACGGUACCGGACGAAUAAGCUCCGGCUAACUCCGUGCCAGCAGCCGCGGUAACACGGGGGGAGCAAGCGUUGUUCGGAAUCACUGGGCGUAAAGGGCGUGUAGGCGGUUUGGUAAGUGGGAUGUGAAAUGCUCCGGCUCACCCGGAGAGGUGCAUCCCAUACUGCUAGACUUGAGUACGGGAGAGGAUGGGGGAAUUCCUGGUGUAGCGGUGAAAUGCGUAGAUAUCAGGAGGAACACCGGUGGCGAAGGCGCCCAUCUGGCC